UGAAAAAGCCAACCCAGGCAUAUCGAUGCAGGAAAGAGAGCUGAGGCAGCAUGUGAAUGAGGAGCUGUCCUCCGCAGCACAGGAUACAGAGCUGUGCCCAAACGCGUGGGACAGCUGCCAGCCAAGGCUGACACCGUCACCCAGACCGACGGGCCCUGCAAAGGCACCUGAACGGCCACGCUUGGCCCUACACCCCACACAAAGUGCAGCAGUCCUGACACAAUCAAGUCCCUAAAUCUCUCCUAGUUUCCCCUGACAUGAUCAGGAAGCAAUUGUUAAACCUGAAAGACUGACCCCGACCUUUCUAUUGGCAGAAGCUCCAGACUUGGAGUCACGCUUUAUUAAGGAACACUUAAAACACAGGGAGAACUUUCGUUUAAGCCAGCAACUCCGCUUGCUUCAUGCAAAGACCCUGAGACCCCCCCAAAUCCCACUGGAUUCCUGUGAGGCUGUGCCCUCCCCAUUACACCCAUCCCUCGUCCUGCAAUCACCACUCUGCACAGGGAGAGCACUUCUCGCCUCCUCCGUUUGGACGGUUCACAAAGAGCAGAUGGGAGGGGAGGGGUGUAGGCCCCUUCAGCAGAGGUGUGCAUUUAAAGCCUUAUUAAUCAGAUGAUCAGAUCCCUUAACUCCCAGAGCAGCAGAUCGCACACUCCUUGGCUCUUACACACCACGGCCUCCUGCCGAAGUGCUUCUGCCUGGCUACACAACCGCCAUGUUGUUGCCAUGCACACUCAUGGGGCCCGCUCAGCCUCGCUGCUUUCUCAAACAGUGUGUAUAUAUUACCUGCAUAAGGGUACGUGCAAUAUGAGAGCAUAGGCUACAUUAUGGUGUUCAGGUCACAGGAGGGCCCCAGUGCCAGCAGCUGGUGGGAAUUGCUGAAAAUUAUGCAGAAGCAGCAGUUAACAGAACUUACAUAACGAUGAGUGGAAGGUUGGGAGCUCGGUAACAAGUCAAACCAGCCCAACACAGCUUGUUCAGAAGCAUGUUGCACAGCUUACAUAACCAGGGCUAACAAUUUCAUACGUAACACUUCUCCAAGGAAUAUGUAUAUCCCUGGUUAAUAGAUACGUGUAUCAUCUUGAGCCAGGCAUGCACAUCGGGCAGAGUUAUCCCCUCGCAUGCCCAACUGCAUAAUAAGGGACGCACAGUGGAUGAUGUCAAAGGAAAACAGCAACAUGUUCACAAAGUGUAUCCUUAAAUUAUUUCUGAGGGCACAGAGCUGGGGAGGCUAGUUAGGGAAAACAAAGUGCUCUUUCUUGAGGGAAGUAACACAGGAGUAAUUCACAAGCAGCCAUCAGUCACCAGGGUGGUACUACUGUAGACAGAAGGCACUACUGCAGCGGAGAGAAGCUUUCUGCUUACAGCAGUGCUAGAAUCCACUGGACUACAAGCACAGAAGGAUGGUGAUGGAGCAGGAGUACCCAGCAGCUACAAAAACUGUACUAAGACUAAAAAAAAAAAAGACUUCUAGUGCAUAAAGAGGUAUGGCACAAUAAAGCUUCUGUCCUGUAUAAAGCUGUACAGAAGAAAGCAUCAAUUUUCUUUACUGAGGUGGUGGAAAGACUUUCUCAUGAAUACCCUGUGCAAGAGUGAAGUUUGGAAGCAUAAAGAAUAUUAAAGAUCAGUGUUUGAACAGUUGUUCUAAAACGGGUUACUAAAACCUGACAUUUUUGGUUCUAAUGUUAGGGAUCAAUUAAUUACACCCUUGACAAAUUGUUUUAGGGUUUAUCUGUAAAUCUAGCUGUAAUACAUCAACUUCUAAUUCAACACUAUUUUAUAGGAUCCACAAUGGCUUUACUCUAAGUUGCUCCAUAUACUCAGUUUCUAUUUUUCCCAAUUUGAAAUUAACUGUGUCUUUUAUAGUACAAUCUGGAAAAUUCUUGGAAAUAAAUGAUGCUUUGUGCUACUC
Molecule: long non-coding RNA, 1912 nt
Organism: Pseudopipra pipra
Lineage: Eukaryota; Metazoa; Chordata; Aves; Passeriformes; Pipridae
Exons: 2
Source: RefSeq, a predicted model, not a curated record